GAUGAACGCUAGCGGCAGGCCUAAUACAUGCAAGUCGAACGAUACCAGAGAGCUUGCUUUCUGGGAAAGUGGCGCACGGGUGCGUAACGCGUAUGCAACCUACCUUAAUCAGGGGGAUAGCCUCUCGAAAGAGAGAUUAACACCGCAUAAAAUCACACUUCGGCAUCGAAGAAUGAUCAAAUAUUUAUAGGAUUAAGAUGGGCAUGCGUGACAUUAGCUAGUUGGUAAGGUAACGGCUUACCAAGGCUACGAUGUCUAGGGGAUCUGAGAGGAUGACCCCCCACACUGGUACUGAGACACGGACCAGACUCCUACGGGAGGCAGCAGUAAGGAAUAUUGGUCAAUGGGGGCAACCCUGAACCAGCCAUGCCGCGUGCAGGAAGACGGCCCUACGGGUUGUAAACUGCUUUUAUACGGGAAUAAAUCUCGCUACGUGUAGUGAGUUGAAUGUACUGUAAGAAUAAGGAUCGGCUAACUCCGUGCCAGCAGCCGUACGG
This 497-nucleotide ribosomal RNA is filed under the name uncultured bacterium. RNAcentral's name for it is "bacterial SSU rRNA". It matches the Rfam family "Bacterial small subunit ribosomal RNA", at positions 28 to 528 of the family's 1533-position model. The record is from RNAcentral.